UUAGGACGAUGGAUUUCUACCUUCUCGCGGUGUCCGGUGUCAGUACCCUCUGUUUGUGCGGAGGGGACACCAAAAGAAUC
Molecule: non-coding RNA, 80 nt
Filed under: Aspergillus fumigatus Af293
Lineage: Eukaryota; Fungi; Ascomycota; Eurotiomycetes; Eurotiales; Aspergillaceae
Source: RNAcentral